RNAcentral lists this ribosomal RNA (438 nucleotides) under uncultured bacterium. RNAcentral describes it as "bacterial SSU rRNA". It matches the Rfam family "Bacterial small subunit ribosomal RNA", at positions 958 to 1397 of the family's 1533-position model. The record is from RNAcentral.
AACGCGAAGAACCUUACCUGGGUUAAAUCAGUAGUGCAAAGCGCAGAGAUGCGUUCCCCCCGCAAGGGGCGCUAUUGAAGGUGCUGCAUGGCUGUCGUCAGCUCGUGUCGUGAGAUGUUGGGUUAAGUCCCGCAACGAGCGCAACCCUUACCGCUAGUUGCCAGCAUUAAGUUGGGUACUCUAGUGGAACUGCCGGUGAUAAACCGGAGGAAGGUGGGGAUGACGUCAAGUCAUCAUGGCCUCUAUGUCCAGGGCUACACACGUGCUACAAUGGCCGGUACAAACCGCCGCAAACUCGCGAGAGGGAGCCAAUCGGAAAAAGCCGGUCUCAGUUCGGAUUGGAGUCUGCAACUCGACUCCAUGAAGUUGGAAUCGCUAGUAAUCGCAGAUCAGCACGCUGCGGUGAAUACGUUCCCGGGCCUUGUACACACCGCACGA